This 499-nucleotide ribosomal RNA is filed under the name uncultured Achromobacter sp. RNAcentral describes it as "bacterial SSU rRNA". It matches the Rfam family "Bacterial small subunit ribosomal RNA", at positions 1 to 495 of the family's 1533-position model. Lineage: Bacteria; Pseudomonadati; Pseudomonadota; Betaproteobacteria; Burkholderiales; Alcaligenaceae. The record is from RNAcentral.
UAGAGUAAGAGUUUGGACCUGGCUCAGAUUGAACGCUAGCGGGAUGCCUUACACAUGCAAGUCGAACGGCAGCACGGACUUCGGUCUGGUGGCGAGUGGCGAACGGGUGAGUAAUGUAUCGGAACGUGCCCAGUAGCGGGGGAUAACUACGCGAAAGCGUAGCUAAUACCGCAUACGCCCUACGGGGGAAAGCAGGGGAUCGCAAGACCUUGCACUAUUGGAGCGGCCGAUAUCGGAUUAGCUAGUUGGUGGGGUAACGGCUCACCAAGGCGACGAUCCGUAGCUGGUUUGAGAGGACGACCAGCCACACUGGGACUGAGACACGGCCCAGACUCCUACGGGAGGCAGCAGUGGGGAAUUUUGGACAAUGGGGGAAACCCUGAUCCAGCCAUCCCGCGUGUGCGAUGAAGGCCUUCGGGUUGUAAAGCACUUUUGGCAGGAAAGAAACGUCAUGGGUUAAUACCCCGUGAAACUGACGGUACCUGCAGAAUAAGCACCG